ACUGCUAUCGAGGUUCGACUAAGCCAUGCGAGUCGAAUGUAGCAAUACAUGGCGAACUGCUCAGUAACACGUGGACAACCUGCCCUUAGGACGGGGAUAAACCCGGGAAACUGGGUAUAAUACCCGAUAGGUCUCGAUUGCUGGAAUGCAUCGAGAUUUAAAGCUCCGGCGCCUAAGGAUGGGUCUGCGGCCUAUCAGGUAGUAGUGGGUGUAGCGUACCUACUAGCCUACGACGGGUACGGGUUGUGAGAGCAAGAGCCCGGAGAUGGAUUCUGAGACACGAAUCCAGGCCCUACGGGGUGCAGCAGGCGCGAAAACUUUACAAUGCUGGCAACAGCGAUAAGGGAACCUCGAGUGCCAGGUUACAAAUCUGGCUGUCGAGAUGCCUAAAAAGCAUUUCAUAGCAAGGGCCGGGCAAGACCGGUGCCAGCCGCCGCGGUAACACCGGCGGCUCGAGUGGUAACCGUUAUUAUUGGGUCUAAAGGGUCUGUAGCCGGCCGGAUAAGUCUCUUGAGAAAUCUGGCAGCUUAACUGUCAGGCUUUCAGGAGAUACUGUCUGGCUCGAGGCCGGGAGAGGUGAGAGGUACUUCAGGGGUAGGGGUGAAAUCUUGUAAUCCUUGAAGGACCACCAGUGGCGAAGGCGUCUCACCAGAACGGACCUGACGGCAAGGGACGAAAGCUAGGGGCACGAACCGGAUUAGAUACCCGGGUAGUCCUAGCCGUAAACGAUACUCGCUAGGUGUCGGCCACGGUGCGACCGUUGUCGGUGC
Molecule: ribosomal RNA, 770 nt
Filed under: uncultured Methanosaeta sp.
Lineage: Archaea; Methanobacteriati; Methanobacteriota; Methanomicrobia; Methanotrichales; Methanotrichaceae
Description: bacterial SSU rRNA
Rfam family: Archaeal small subunit ribosomal RNA
Source: RNAcentral